This 1067-nucleotide long non-coding RNA is filed under the name Heterocephalus glaber (naked mole-rat). RNAcentral describes it as "lncRNA (ENSHGLG00100037611.1)". The record is from RNAcentral. Lineage: Eukaryota; Metazoa; Chordata; Mammalia; Rodentia; Bathyergidae.
CCCGCCCUCGCCGCCGCGUUCACUCCCGCGCUCUGAGGGAAACGGCACCUCGGAGGUCACCCCAGCGCCACCCUAGGGGUCUCAACUUUCGGCCUCGUGCCAGCCCGCGCCGCCGCCGCCUCCCUCCCUCCCCGCGCCAGCCGGGCCGCGGCGGGAGCGCGCGCUGGGCGCCUGCCACCCCCGUCCAUCUGUUCCCGGUGACGCGGACGAGCCGGGAGCGCUCGGAGCCCUCGCCAGCGGGACGCACACCCCGCCUGCGUCCUCCGGGGCGGCGCACGCGGGCCCCCGCCUUUCGCAGGCUCCCGGCCGACCACAAACGAAAAGGGAAACGCGCCAGCAAGGUCGGACCGCCCCCCGCUCCCGACCGGAUCCCUCCCCGCCGCGGCCUCCGUCCACGCUUUCAUUUACGCACCCUUGGGCGAGCGGGGUCCAGAAAUGUGUGUCCUGCACAAUCCGGCGACGCACCGAGCCAGGGGACGCCGCCCCAACCCCUGCCAGAGUCCCGAGAAACCUGGCCAGAUUUCCCUACUGUCAACAUUUGUGACAGGAAAGCGAGAGGGAACACGUCCCGAGUGGUCUUAUUUUAGCAGGCUUUUAUAAAACUGCAGCGCACUCAGAAUCCUCCCGGCACUGGGCCGUCUAUCUGGAAGCCCUCAGCCUGGCUUCAGGGCGCGGGGCACAAACGCCAGCAGGUGAGGAGGGUCCUGGGCUGGUGCGUGACUUCAGUGAAACCUCCACAGAAACCAUGUGGUCAGGGCCUGUCGCCCCCAGCACUCUGCUCCUGGCUGCGUCUGUCUCAGCAGAAGAUGUUCCCACACCAGCCAUGUGUGCUUCUGGACCGCCCCGGCCUAGCUGCAACGCCGCCAGUUCCUCUCACUGUCCCUAUAGUGCCCCCCUGUCUCGCCACCCCAAAAUAGUCUCUGUGAGAGGCACCAGCCUGGGCCGGCCUGCCCCCAUGAGCCACACUGCUUCUGCAGGGCUGGGACAGACCCCAGGCCAGGGUGUGCUGGCCAAGUGCCACCACCGCACUACAUCCCCAGGCCCUGAAAACCAAAUUCCCAGUUUGA